GCAAUUAUACCGUGAAACUGCGAAUGGCUCAUUAAAUCAGUUAUCGUUUAUUUGAUAGUACCUUACUACUUGGAUAACCGUGGUAAUUCUAGAGCUAAUACAUGCUGAAAACCCCGACUUCGGGAGGGGUGUAUUUAUUAGAUAAAAAACCAAUGCCCUUCGGGGCUCUUUGGUGAUUCAUGAUAACUUUUCAGAUCGCAUGGCCUUGCGCCGGCGACGGUUCAUUCAAAUUUCUGCCCUAUCAACUUUCGAUGGUAAGGUAUUGGCUUACCAUGGUUUCAACGGGUAACGGGGAAUUAGGGUUCGAUUCCGGAGAGGGAGCCUGAGAAACGGCUACCACAUCCAAGGAAGGCAGCAGGCGCGCAAAUUACCCAAUCCCGACACGGGGAGGUAGUGACAAUAAAUACUGAUACAGGGCUCUUUUGGGUCUUGUAAUUGGAAUGAGUACAAUUUAAACCUCUUAACGAGGAACAAUUGGAGGGCAAGUCUGGUGCCAGCAGCCGCGGUAAUUCCAGCUCCAAUAGCGUAUAUUAAAGUUGUUGCAGUUAAAAAGCUCGUAGUUGAACCUUGGGCCUGGCUGGCAGGUCCGCCUCACCGCGUGUACUUGUCCGGCCGGGCCUUUCCUUCUGGAGAACCUCAUGCCCUUUACUGGGUGUGCUGGGGAACCAGGACUUUUACUUUGAAAAAAUUAGAGUGUUCAAAGCAGGCCUUUGCUCGAAUACGUUAGCAUGGAAUAAUAGAAUAGGACGUGCGGUCCUAUUUUGUUGGUUUCUAGGACCGCCGUAAUGAUUAAUAGGGACAGUCGGGGGCAUCAGUAUUCAAUUGUCAGAGGUGAAAUUCUUGGAUUUAUUGAAGACUAACUACUGCGAAAGCAUUUGCCAAGGAUGUUUUCAUUAAUCAGUGAACGAAAGUUAGGGGAUCGAAGACGAUCAGAUACCGUCGUAGUCUUAACCGUAAACUAUGCCGACUAGGGAUCGGGCGAUGUUUCUAUCUUGACUCGCUCGGCACCUUACGAGAAAUCAAAGUUUUUGGG
RNAcentral lists this ribosomal RNA (1033 nucleotides) under Corynespora yunnanensis. RNAcentral describes it as "SSU rRNA". It matches the Rfam family "Eukaryotic small subunit ribosomal RNA", at positions 69 to 1111 of the family's 1831-position model. Lineage: Eukaryota; Fungi; Ascomycota; Dothideomycetes; Pleosporales; Corynesporascaceae. The record is from RNAcentral.